Molecule: small nucleolar RNA, 93 nt
Organism: Rhododendron vialii
Lineage: Eukaryota; Viridiplantae; Streptophyta; Magnoliopsida; Ericales; Ericaceae
Product: small nucleolar RNA snoR114
Exons: 1
Source: RefSeq, a predicted model, not a curated record
GAGCUGUGAUGAAGCCUUCUGCGCUAAAUGUGAUUGUUGGGUCCUUCACGACCGUCCGAUUAAUAAGGGCGAAAUCGUGGCGUAUCUGAGCUC